UAAUAAGAAAUAAAAUUUAUAUUUAGUUUCGACCUAACAUCAGGAUACGUCCCUUAUUUU
Molecule: transfer RNA, 60 nt
Filed under: Diplectrona albofasciata
Lineage: Eukaryota; Metazoa; Arthropoda; Insecta; Trichoptera; Hydropsychidae
Also listed under: 1 other name
Description: tRNA-Arg
Source: RNAcentral